CCUACGGGUGGCUGCAGUGGGGAAUAUUGGACAAUGGGGGGAACCCUGAUCCAGCCAUGCCGCGUGUGUGAAGAAGGCCCUCGGGUUGUAAAGCACUUUCAGUGAGGAAGAACGCCUGGUGGUUAAUACCCAUCAGGAAAGACAUCACUCACAGAAGAAGCACCGGCUAACUCCGUGCCAGCAGCCGCGGUAAUACGGAGGGUGCGAGCGUUAAUCGGAAUUACUGGGCGUAAAGCGCGCGUAGGUGGCUUGAUAAGCCGGUUGUGAAAGCCCCGGGCUCAACCUGGGAACGGCAUCCGGAACUGUCAAGCUAGAGUGCAGGAGAGGGAGGUAGAAUUCCCGGUGUAGCGGUGAAAUGCGUAGAGAUCGGGAGGAAUACCAGUGGCGAAGGCGGCCUUCUGGACUGACACUGACACUGAGGUGCGAAAGCGUGGGUAGCAAACAGGAUUAGAUACCCGGGUAGUC
This 465-nucleotide ribosomal RNA is filed under the name Vreelandella stevensii. Its description in RNAcentral is "partial 16S ribosomal RNA". It matches the Rfam family "Bacterial small subunit ribosomal RNA", at positions 338 to 795 of the family's 1533-position model. Lineage: Bacteria; Pseudomonadati; Pseudomonadota; Gammaproteobacteria; Oceanospirillales; Halomonadaceae. The record is from RNAcentral.